GAGGAGCACGAAGGUUGGCUAAUCCUGGUCGGACAUCAGGAGGUUAGUGCAAUGGCAUAAGCCAGCUUGACUGCGAGCGUGACGGCGCGAGCAGGUGCGAAAGCAGGUCAUAGUGAUCCGGUGGUUCUGAAUGGAAGGGCCAUCGCUCAACGGAUAAAAGGUACUCCGGGGAUAACAGGCUGAUACCGCCCAAGAGUUCAUAUCGACGGCGGUGUUUGGCACCUCGAUGUCGGCUCAUCACAUCCUGGGGCUGAAGUAGGUCCCAAGGGUAUGGCUGUUCGCCAUUUAAAGUGGUACGCGAGCUGGGUUUAGAACGUCGUGAGACAGUUCGGUCCCUAUCUGCCGUGGGCGCUGGAGAACUGAGGGGGGCUGCUCCUAGUACGAGAGGACCGGAGUGGACGCAUCACUGGUGUUCGGGUUGUCAUGCCAAUGGCACUGCCCGGUAGCUAAAUGCGGAAGAGAUAAGUGCUGAAAGCAUCUAAGCACGAAACUUGCCCCGAG
This 501-nucleotide ribosomal RNA is filed under the name Salmonella enterica. RNAcentral's name for it is "partial 23S ribosomal RNA". It matches the Rfam family "Bacterial large subunit ribosomal RNA", at positions 2303 to 2803 of the family's 2925-position model. The record is from RNAcentral. Lineage: Bacteria; Pseudomonadati; Pseudomonadota; Gammaproteobacteria; Enterobacterales; Enterobacteriaceae.